Non-coding RNA from Triticum urartu, 104 nucleotides. NCBI's taxonomy places the organism in Eukaryota, Viridiplantae, Streptophyta, Magnoliopsida, Poales, Poaceae. The record is from Rfam.
GAUGGCAGUGAUAAUUUGCAAAUAUUCAAGCUCAACAUACCAAAUCACAGGUUUUCUCCCAGGAGUUGAUUUGUAUGCUGAUUAUCUGGCUGAACCAAGCCAUC